Molecule: ribosomal RNA, 421 nt
Filed under: uncultured Adhaeribacter sp.
Lineage: Bacteria; Pseudomonadati; Bacteroidota; Cytophagia; Cytophagales; Hymenobacteraceae
Description: bacterial SSU rRNA
Rfam family: Bacterial small subunit ribosomal RNA
Source: RNAcentral
UAGGGAAUAUUGGGCAAUGGACGGAAGUCUGACCCAGCCAUGCCGCGUGCAGGAAGAAGGCCUUCUGGGUUGUAAACUGCUUUUAUCUGGGAAGAAAAAACCUUUGCGAAGGGAACUGACGGUACCAGAUGAAUAAGCACCGGCUAACUCCGUGCCAGCAGCCGCGGUAAUACGGAGGGUGCAAGCGUUGUCCGGAUUUAUUGGGUUUAAAGGGUGCGUAGGCGGCCCUGUAAGUCAGUGGUGAAAGCCUCCAGCUCAACUGGAGAACUGCCAUUGAUACUGCAGGGCUUGAGUACAGACGAGGUUGGCGGAAUUGAUAGUGUAGCGGUGAAAUGCAUAGAUACUAUCAAGAACUCCGAUUGCGUAGGCAGCUAACUAGGCUGUAACUGACGCUGAGGCACGAAAGCGUGGGGAGCGAACA